Molecule: ribosomal RNA, 253 nt
Filed under: uncultured bacterium
Lineage: Bacteria
Description: partial 16S ribosomal RNA
Rfam family: Bacterial small subunit ribosomal RNA
Source: RNAcentral
UACGUAGGGGGCAAGCGUUGUCCGGAAUUAUUGGGCGUAAAGAGCUCGUAGGCGGCUCGUUGCGUCGGCUGUGAAAACCCGCAGCUCAACUGUGGGCUUGCAGCCGAUACGGGCGGGCUGGAGUUCGGUAGGGGAGACUGGAAUUCCUGGUGUAGCGGUGAAAUGCGCAGAUAUCAGGAGGAACACCGGUGGCGAAGGCGGGUCUCUGGGCCGAUACUGACGCUGAGGAGCGAAAGCGUGGGGAGCGAACAGG